CAAGCAAAACCCGAUGGGUCCCCGUUGCCAUCUUGAAUCACGCCGCCGUUCAUUUCCCCAAUCCCCUCUCCCCCCUGCGAGUUUUCCCAUCUCCGCGACCCACGAGCGCCGCCGCCCCCCACUGCUCCGCCAUCACCUGGUCUUGCGCGCCGGUUCGCUCGACGGGCUCCUCGCGGACGGGACGAGCUGCGGCGGCGGCAGGAGGGCCGGAGACCAUCGGUGUCGUCCGCAAAUCAAUUUCAGCGCCCGCCACCUGUUCGACGAAAUGGACAAGAAGGCUACCUGCACCCGCGAGGAUCCCUUCCGCGUCCUCCCCGACGACGUGCUCGACCACAUCCUGUCCUUUCUGCUGGGGGAUGAUGCCAUGCAGACCUGCGUGCUCAACACCCAGUGGCGCGACCUCUGGAGGCGCAAAACCAGCCUGCGCUUCAUCCUUGACGAAUGGUCAAGUUACAGCACCCAGCGUUUCAAUCAGUUGGUGAAGCUGAUAAUCCACCUCAGGGGGGACUCACCUCUGACCGACUGCCAGAUCAAUCCCUGUGGUGAUGUGGGCCAUUGCGAUUUCUCACAAACCAAGCUGUUGAUUGAGUACGUUCUAAAGUGCCGGGUUGAGGAUCUCUUAGUUUGCGCCGGUGAAUAUGUUCAUGAUCCAUUGCUGCUUGAAGCACGUCUCAUCUCCCUACACUUGAGGACCAUAGAAUUUGGAAACGUUGAUCUCGUAGAUUCCUCACUAGAUUUCUCGGGCUGCCCAGUAUUACAGGAGCUAAGAUUCCUCACUAGAUUUCUCGGGCUGCCCAGUAUUACAGGAGCUAACAAUAGAAAGUUGCUGCGUUGGCACAAGGAAGAUAUGUUCUAAAUCACUAAAGCAUUUGCGGUUCACUGCGGAUUGUAUGUUCUCUGAUGAAAUCCACAUUGAUAUUGCUGCCCCGCGUCUUAUCUCACUGGAACUAGGUAAUUUUCUGAACUUGUCUCCUUCCUUUGAAGAGAUGCCAUUACUGGAAAAGGCAUCUAUUUUGCUUGGCGAUGAGUGUUGCAAUGUCUGUAAAAGUGACGAGGAGGAUUUUAGUGAUCUUACAUGUGGAUGUGCUAACAAGAAGUGUCUGCUUCUCAACGGAUUGUCCAAUGCUGUUGAUUUGAAAUUGAUUGCUGCGCCUGACUUGCUUAUCUUCAAAAGGGAUUUGGAAUGGCGCCCUAAAUUUGACAAAUUAAAGACUCUGGUACUCAAUGAUUGGUUUACGGCUAUUGACCUAGUUUGCAUUCUCCAACACUCGCCAAAUCUUGAGAAGCUCACUCUUAAGAUCGAUUUCCCUGAGAACUUUUUAGGAGCAACAGGAUCCAGGCAAUCAUUCGUGUGUCCGCCUCAUUUGGUUGUCAACAUUAAAUGUAGAAAAGUUGAUAACGGUGUUCGCAAGAUUUUGGAGGUCUUGAGUACAUGUGGCAUACUUCCUGAGCAGAUUAGCAUCAAGUGCCGCGAUCGCACUUAGAUUGUUCCAUCCACUGAUUGGGACUAAGAUGUGAGCUCGGUCAUGAUGUUCGUCUGCAGAUUUAUAUAUGUUUCUCGUCGUCUGUAAUGGUGCCAUGCGUUGGUGGUUAGCUUGUUACCGUGAUAUUCAGUUUCUCCUUCCCAUCUAUUGUCUCUGCUGGAAAUCUGUUGUUGUGGUUUCUUUUGUGCAACUUUGCACAAAUGGUCUAAAUUUUGUUGAAUUGGGAAUGUGCAACUUAGCAAAAUGAUGUCUGUCAGAACAUUGCUAUAUCUUUUAAUGGAAGUUUGGAAGCGCA
Molecule: RNA transcript, 1779 nt
Organism: Triticum aestivum (bread wheat)
Lineage: Eukaryota; Viridiplantae; Streptophyta; Magnoliopsida; Poales; Poaceae
Exons: 5
Source: RefSeq, a predicted model, not a curated record